Long non-coding RNA from Corticium candelabrum, 341 nucleotides. RefSeq lists it as uncharacterized. Lineage: Eukaryota; Metazoa; Porifera; Homoscleromorpha; Homosclerophorida; Plakinidae. The record is from RefSeq and is a predicted model, not a curated record. The transcript is spliced from 3 exons.
GUGGUGUGUAUUUUGUGUCUUGGUAGAAGGAUCGCUUAAUCGACCACACAGGAAGUCGUCAUUGCUGCUCUCAGCACGUACAUCCUGAGAUGCCCUACAGCGUUCUGUUCGGAGAUUGUGAACAGUGCUUUUUGUCAAUCCCCAUCGAUCAUUUCGCAGCAGCUUUGCAGCUAGUGUCUAGAGCUGCUUUGACUUCUUCAAUUCUCUCUUGUGUGGACGUAAGUCAUUGCACUUGCAACGGCUCGUUUCAAACGUGCGAGACAUUAUAAAACAAGAAUGACACAAUUGUACUACUACUUCUAGCAGUACAACAAGUAAGCUACCCAGUCGUCAUACAGUCU